This 253-nucleotide ribosomal RNA is filed under the name uncultured bacterium. Its description in RNAcentral is "partial 16S ribosomal RNA". It matches the Rfam family "Bacterial small subunit ribosomal RNA", at positions 524 to 776 of the family's 1533-position model. The record is from RNAcentral.
UACGUAGGGUGCAAGCGUUGUCCGGAAUUAUUGGGCGUAAAGAGCUCGUAGGCGGUUUGUCGCGUCUGCUGUGAAAACUCGGGGCUUAACCCCGGGCCUGCAGUGGGUACGGGCAGACUAGAGUGCGGUAGGGGAGACUGGAAUUCCUGGUGUAGCGGUGAAAUGCGUAGAUAUCAGGAGGAACACCGGCGGCGAAGGCGGCCCUCUGGCUCGUUGCUGACGCUGAAACGCGAAAGCGUGGGGAGCAAACAGG